CAGCAGCCGCGGGAAUACGAGGGGGGCAAGCGUUGUUCGGAAUUAUUGGGCGUAAAGGGCGCGUAGGCGGUUUGGCAAGUUUCGUGUGAAAUCUUCGGGCUCAACUCGAAGUCUGCACGGAAAACUGCCGGGCUUGAGUAUGGGAGAGGUGAGUGGAAUUUCCGGUGUAGCGGUGAAAUGCGUAGAUAUCGGAAGGAACACCUGUGGCGAAAGCGGCUCACUGGACCAUAACUGACGCUGAGGCGCGAAAGCUAGGGGAGCAAACAGGAUUAGAUACCCGCGUAGUCCCUGUCUCUUAUAA
This 301-nucleotide ribosomal RNA is filed under the name uncultured bacterium. Its description in RNAcentral is "partial 16S ribosomal RNA". It matches the Rfam family "Bacterial small subunit ribosomal RNA", at positions 509 to 809 of the family's 1533-position model. The record is from RNAcentral.